GAUGAACGCUGGCGGCGUGCUUAACACAUGCAAGUCGAACGGAAAGGCCCUGCUUUUGUGGGGUGCUCGAGUGGCGAACGGGUGAGUAACAAGUGAGUAACCUGCCCUUGACUUUGGGAUAACUUCAGGAAACUGGGGCUAAUACCGGAUAGGAGCUCCUGCUGCAUGGUGGGGGUUGGAAAGAUUCGGCGGUUGGGGAUGGACGCGCGGCUUACCAGCUUGUUGGUGGGGUAGUGGCUUACCAAGGCUUUGACGGGUAGCCGGCCUGGGAGGGUGACCGGCCACAUUAGGACUGCGGUACGGCCCAGACUGCUACGGGAGGCAGCGGUGGAGAAUAUUGCACAAUGGGCGGAAGCCUGAUGCAGCGACGCCGCGUGCGGGAUGACGGCCUUCGGGUUGUAAACCGCUUUCGCCUGUGACGAAGCGUGAGUGACGGUAAUGGGUAAAGAAGCACCGGCUAACUACGUG
RNAcentral lists this ribosomal RNA (468 nucleotides) under uncultured bacterium. RNAcentral's name for it is "partial 16S ribosomal RNA". It matches the Rfam family "Bacterial small subunit ribosomal RNA", at positions 28 to 507 of the family's 1533-position model. The record is from RNAcentral.